Rhopilema esculentum is the source of this 8088-nucleotide RNA transcript. RefSeq lists it as uncharacterized. The record is from RefSeq and is a predicted model, not a curated record. Lineage: Eukaryota; Metazoa; Cnidaria; Scyphozoa; Rhizostomeae; Rhizostomatidae.
GAUGAGCUUUGAAAAUGCAAAUGUGCGCAGAUGUCGAAUCUUGUUGGGAAAAUCAUGGCCGCUUGUGAAUGUGGAAAGUGAUCCUGGAUUUUACUGUGCGAAUGGUGAUUGGAAUUUUAAUUAGUUAUUUGUAGCGAGAUUAUUCAUCAUGGUUCUCAAUGGUUCGCCCGGUAAACCAGAAGAAAAGAUGACAUCUCUAGGGCCUACUGGCCCAAUUGCCAGCAAACUUCCCACAUUGCUUGAAAAGGACAAGAAGGUCGCAAUCGAUGAGUCGAGGAAAGCGUUUUAUAACAGGAGAAGGAUACAGAUCGGUGGAAUACCGCGUGACAGCUCGACAAAGGAAUUGUCACAGACAUUGUUGAAAAACUUUGAUGUGGUGUAUAUUUUAGUUAACGAAAAAGGUUUUGCCCAUGUUUUAUUGAAAAAUACGGAGGAGGCCGAAAAAGCAAUGUCGUUUGUUAAAGGGAAGCUAUUUCGUGGAAAUAUGGUUGCAGCUUCGUUUUCUCAAGGCGAAUUCUUGGUGUUUGUGGGAAACAUUCCAUAUUCAUACAGCGCUUUGCAAUUUAAAAACAUUGUCAAACCAUUUGGUGAAGUUGAACGCGUCAUUCUAAUGAGAAGUGAGCUUACUGGCCAAAGCAAAGGCUACGGAUUUGUGGAAUUUACGUACAAGGCUGCUGUUGAAAAGGCCUUGAAAGAGCUUGGUACUGUGCACAAAGGCUUGAGGGUAAAUUUGGCGAACCCUGGUCUUAAUGAGUACUAUGAUUUGCAGUCACAGACUCUGUAUGUCAACCAGUUUCCUGCAAGCACCAAAAGUGAACAAAUUGAAGAGCUUUUUGACAAACAUGUCCAAGUACCAUUCUGCAAGAUUCCUUUGAACGAUUCCACUGGGAAACCAUGUGAUUUUGCGCUUGUUGAUUGCAAAUCCCCAGAGGAUGCGGAAAAGCUUUGGAAAGAACUCGACGGUAACAGUAUUAAUGGCGGAACGAUGCGGGUCUCAUUUAGCUCGCCUGGUCGACUGGCUGCAACCUCGUUUGGUGGACCCCAAUUUCAGGCAACAAGAACAGUCGUAGAGAGCACUGUGACCAACAAUCUUACGUCAUCAACUGAGACAAGACUAAAUAAUAACAAAGAUAUUGCAGCUCCUCCAAAGAAGCCAGAACAACCCCGAAACAAGAUAAGUACGGCAACCAAACAGCUGCCGCAGAGUUCACGCCCGGCUGCACUACUGCCUAGUCCCCCAGGGCCCAGACCUCCUGGCCCGAUCGACUUUAGAAGGAACCCUGGAACACCAACAAGGCCUGCACCGAACCGUCCAAUUCGAAAUAUGGGGUUUGAACAAAAUAUUGGUUUUGGUGCUAAUGUGGGUGGAAGAGGACAGAGAAUGCCAGGCCCAGGUGGACCCCCAAGAGCAGUGGGCCCCCAAGGUGGACCACCACGCACAGUUGGACCCUCAGGUGGACCUCCACGCACAGUUGGACCCUCAGGUGGACCUCCACGCCCAGUAGGGCCCCUAGGUGGACCACCACGGGGAGUCGGCCCUAGAGGGCCACCAAAUGUUCCUGUUCAAAGAGGAGGGUUUGGUCAAUCCAAUCCUAGGGGGCCACCUGCUCCCCUGGAUGGAAGGCCGCCUCGACCAGGAAAUUUAAGGGGAGAUUUACGUUCUGAAAGGCCACGGUUUUCUGGAGAUUUUGCGUCUGGACCUCGGGGUCCAAGGCCUAGGAGUCAGUUUCCUACCCAAGAUAGACCACUACUACACACUGACCCUCAGUCUAGAGGAAGGCAACCAGAAGGGCCCUUACCUAGACCACCAAGGCCCAGGGGGCCUUCCAUACCAGAUCAAAACAGACCCAAUUUUCCACCUGAAGACCGUUUUCCCUCGAAAGGUCCACAUAGUAGGCCACUGCCUGAUGAGCCACUUCGAAGGGAGCCUCCUUUUCACCCCAGAGGUGCUCCAGUUAGAGAAAAUAUUAGAUUUGACUCUGACAGGCGCAAUCCUCCCUCACGUGACAUCAAAGACGACAGACAGGUGCCAGGUCAAAGGAACAGGUCUUGGCACGAGCCAGAAGAGAUGGAGGAAAGACGGACUUGGAGAGAUGUACCGGAUAACAGAAGACCGAUUUGGGACAAAGGGCAAGAACGAGCUGACACGGAAAGAAACAGCUGGUCACGUGAUCGAGCUGAAUUGCAUAAUGAGUUUGAAGAGCCGGGUGGAUUUGACGGACAUCGAGGAUCGCAGCCUCACUUUCAAGAUCAGAGAGGUCGUCCUGCCAGGGAGCCUCCAAAUGAGCAACGGGAAGACCCGAAAAGAAGGCCUCCUUUUGACAGAAGACGAGAUUUUGAUGCACGUAGCGAAAGAGGAAGAGAGUCACGGUUUGGCAGCGAUGGACAUAGAGGGCCACCUCCUGGACAUGAAGAGCCCUGGACGCGGGAGCGUUCCCCUCAUCGAGGAUACCCAAGAGAACAUACACAAAAUGAGCCAAGAGAGGAGCCCAGACCUCCGUUCCAGCAAAGAGCGCCUUGGAAAGAGCCUCCUCCAAGAAAAGAUUACAAUGAACCUCCCACUGAUGAAAGGUGGCCGAGAGAAAGACAGGGUAUUCCUCCUGCAGGGCACUUAGAUGAACGAGGCCGUAAUUUUCAUGAUGAACUGAGAGGACAUGAAAGAGAGCAAUUCCCUAGAGACAUGGUGCAAAGAGAUGAUGCAGAUCGUUUCAGAAGGAAUGACAUCCGGGAACCUUUUCAACCCCGGUUUGAUGAAAGACAACGUUUACCACCUGAUCAACAUCCGCAACAACAACACCCACCUGAACAGCAAUUCCCACGUGAAAGACUGCCGCCGGCCAAUUAUGGACCAAACCAGGGACCUCCUGCUCAGGGCCAUUUUGGAAGUGGUCCCCCGCCCCAUGAUAGACAACCACUGCCGUUGCCUUCUCAGGUUGGUGACGUGCAGGAAAUGCCUAGAAAUGACUUUAUGUCUGGCCAUGGUGUUCCACCACCAAGGUUUGAAGCACCAACAGCUUUCCAAGAUCAGCGCUCCAGAGGUAUGUCUCAGCCACAGGACCAAAGAUUCCCCCAACCUCCAUGGCAGCAGCAACAACCAGUAGCACAACAAGAGCGCUUUGCGCCUCCUCUUGGCGAGCCAAAAUUCCCAGGACACGGGCCCAACACAAUGCCGCCGCAAAUGCAGGGCCCGCUUAGCUCUUCCUCUGCUCCAACGCAACUGUUUCCACAGCAGGCUCCAGGACAACCUGUUUCAUCUGCACCAACCUUGAUGCAACCAGUGCAAGCCCCGCCAGCCCCGCAGCAGCAAGGUAUUUACUUUCCAGCUCAAAACCAACCAACUGCCAGUUUUAUUCCUUCAUCAGCACCAGUGAUGACAACCACAACGACAAGUGUUGCGAUGUCCAUGCCAACUGUGCCAGCAAUGACUGCAUUGCAGAUGCCAUCAAUACCAGGGGCAAAUGUUUUGCCAGCUGCAGGCGCGGUCCAACUGCAACAGGGUGCUGCCUCACAACCAGGUGUGCCUUCAUUGCAGCAAGCCCCAGGAAGCGCUGCUACUCAACCAGUGGCAAGUCAACUAGAUACUUAUGUUGCAGCAGCGUCGGCAGCUCAGCAGUAUGCACAGUAUUAUGAGCAACUGGCAAAGCAACAAGAAGCAAUCAGCCAGCAACCUUCUGCUCCGGGCUCAAAGGACGCUGCGAAUUUGGCCGCGCAGGCAAAAGCAUAUGCGCAGUACUAUCAGCAAUAUUAUCAACACAUGCAGUCCAUUCUACAAAUGGCCAAAACCCAACAGGCGACACGCACAGCUCAGCAACAGCCAGGCUCCGUGACAGCUCCUGUCGUCCAGCCCCAGCCAUCACCAGCAACACAACCACAUCAACCUUCACAGUCUCAAAUAAAUCAGCAAAUUCCACCACAGCUGUCAGCACAGCAAGCAGCAACGCAACAACAAUACCCGUCUGCCUCGCAGUUUCAGCAAGGUGGCACUAUGCCUGGCAUGCUUGCCAAGUUCCAGCCCCAAAACGUGCCACCUCCCCCGUGGCAGGCCCAGCAGGCUGCUCCACAGCAGACACAUGCUGGUGCUGCAGUGUCACAGCAUGGCCUUGCUCCGGUACAACAGCAGCCAGGGGGUAACCUCCAACAGCCACCUGGUGCAAUCCCACAGCAACUGCAGGGACAGUACCAAAUGCAGCCGAGUUCUAUCCAGCCGGCAAUGCCUGUUGCCAGCGGUUUUCAGCAGCCUAACAACAUGCAACAACCGUGGCCUGUUCAGCAUAAAGAAAUGCCACCUCAGCGUCCAGCUGACAACCAGUUAUUGAGUUCGCGUCAUGUCGGGUUGGGUGGAGUCGCUCCGUUGCCAACUGUCGGCCAACAGCAACAGCAGCAGCGAGUAGAGUCACAAUUCCCAGGGCAACGCACGCAGCAGAUGCAACAAUUCCAACAGCCACUACAACAGCAGCAACAACAACAUUCUUUGCAGCAACAGCAUUCUGUUGGUAGCUAUGCUUUCCAACAGCAACCACUUCAUUCAAAGAACGCCCCACAACAAGGUGGUGCGCAGGUCGUGGGACAUAUUGGAGGGCCGCAACAACAGCAACAGCAGCAGCAGCCAGGACCUGCCUCGCAAAGUUCUCUGGCCCCCUCCGGGAUGAAUUGGAUGUACCCAGUGACGCAAGCAGCCAACAGUGAAAGGCCUCAACACUUUGCUAAACCUGUUCUGUACACAUCUUCCAGUGUUUAGACAAAACAGUUGAAAGAAUUAAUGAACUUGUGGAGGUAGCUAAGAAAAAGGCAGGCAUACCAUUGGAAACAAAGCUGAAAUCUCUUGGAUUGUCACUAAGUGGUGCUGAUAAGAGAGAAGAGCAGAAAGAGAUGGAAGAGAAGCUGGUUGCAAGAUUUCCAAAUGCCACAGAGACGUGCUUUGCAUGCAAUGACACUGUGGGAUCCUUGGAGACAGCAACAGACAAGAGAGGAAUUGUUCUGAUUGCUGGCACAGGGAGCAACUGUUUGCUCAUGAACCCUUGUGGAUCAAUGUACAAACGUGGAUGUGUAUGCUGGCUGAGGAAGGAUCAGUUUUUUGGAGGGCAGGACAGUGACAAUCUUUUUGAGUCAUCAUGAUAGAUUUGACAUCAGUCUAUUCCCUGUGGAUUACAUACGGAAAGAACUCUUUGCAUUCUUCAAUUUGAACAACAAGCGAGAUUUGUUGACAUAUAGUUCCUACAACAAAGGAAGGUACAUGAAGUUUUCUGGGAGGGUAUUGUAAAUAGAGCUGAAGCGGAUGAUGCACUUUGCUUACAUGUGCCUCAAGAAGCAAGGGUUGAACUAAGGAACACAUCAAGGCCUUUAUUCCAAAAAUGGAGUGUGGUACGCUUGAGAAAGACAAAAGUUUGAAAAUAUUGUGUUGGCUCAGUUGAAAAGCAAGAAGUUCUUGAAAAUUGCUUCUCGAAUAAUGUAUUUCUAAUGGUGCUGCAAAGCCAAUCAAAGAUUUUGUCUUGUUGAAGUACCGUCCGUGUGCAAAGGCAAAUUUGGUGCCACUUGGUGGACUGCAAAGAAGAUUGGGAUAUCUUUACCAGCCGAUCACGAUGUCAUGUUGGAAGAGUUUUUUCAUUACAAAGCAUAGAUAAUGUCGAACAAAUUUUUAUUGAAGAAUGUCAAAGAUUUUAUAAACUUGUAAUAAGAUUAAACAAUUUUAUUUUAUCUCGUUUUUGGCAAUAUCAUAUACAGUGGAAUCCCGAUAUAACGAACCCCGGAUAUAACGAACUUCCCGGUAUAACGAACUAAAUGUCUGGUCCCUUGGAUUCUGCCUAACAAACUCUUUCAAAAUUCUCUCGGUAUAACGAACCCCGGAUAUAACGAUAUCUCGUUAUUACGAACCAAAUUUUAUGUCUCUUCAUCACAACUACCCUAGAUAUAACGAACUUUCAUAAAUUUUUCAUCUGCAAUUUUUAUUUGUUUAUCCCCCGUAUUCAUUUAUCACUUUAUCUUUGGGGAAAUCAUUUUGUAAUCGGCAAAACAUUCUGAUGAUACAUUUCAAGCACUGGCUGAUAGAAUUGGAGCACGAAAUGAAAGUUUGAUUGCCUCAGAAAUAUCUGCAAAUGAGGACAUUGACACUAACGAAUACAUUCAUACAUAUGAUACAUUGACAAUGAAUGAUGACAAGGUUUUAUUGAAAACCCAGAUGGAGAAGCAGAAGAAGACAAAUAAAAAUGUGAAAUAUUUAAGCCGAAACGUCAUUCAGCCGACAACUAGAAAUGAAGUGAUACCAGCUUUGCCAAUCUCUUGGUCCCAAUAUCAUAAGAGGAACAUUAAGAUUUUCAUUUUCAAUGACGAACCAGUAGUAAUAUUUGAACUCAGCUUGUUUGUUUUGGAGUAAAAUCUACACAGAAGUUUGAGAUAGCCUAAACAAGCCCACCAAAGGCCUAAACAACAAAAUGAACUGCGAAAAGACCUAAACAAAGUUUUCUAUCGAAAUUUCUGCGAAAAGAUCUAAACAAAGUAGUAAUAUUUGAACUCAGCUUGUUUGUUUUGGAGUAAAAUCUACACAGAAGUUUGAAAUAGCCUAAACAAGCCCACCAAAGGCCUAAACAACAAAAUGAACUGCGAAAAGACCUAAACAAAGUUUUCUCCCGGUCUAACGAACUCCUGAUAUAACAAUGAUAUUUCGAGCCAUUUUCUGGUUCCCUUCAGAGUUCUUUGUAUCGGGAUUCCAGUGUAGUUCAUUCUUAUUUGCCACUUCAAUAUAAAAUAUUCACCACCUCUACAAACACAUGGCAUUCUAUUGAGGAACUGGGAAUUCUGGUCUGUUAUGUUCUAUUAUGAUAUUGGAAAGAAAUUGUAGAAUAUUUACAAUUUCGCAUUGUCAUUCCUGUUUGUCUUUCUUCCGCUUUUAUGGCAGAAUAUGGCAAACGAAACUUAUGAAAUAUUGAAACAUUUAGUAUACAUAUAUGAAAUAUUGUCCAUAAAUAUAUCGAAAUAUCAUUCGUUUGUUUAAGUUUCUCAUUUAUCAAUGAAAACCCAAUUUAUUAUUGAUUACAAGGAAGAUUUUUGAAAAAUUGGCAUGCCAAGGCUGGGGCUUAUUAUCAAUUUUCACUGCUUUGAAAAUUUCAUAGAAACGAGGAGACACAAAAUGCUGAAGCACUUUCCCUGUGACACUCGCCAAAGUAAAACAUUGGAUAAUUACCAAAGGUGAUUAGAAGUAUGUAUCAAGCUGUAGUUUGGAGAGUUGGUUCUUUGCAGGAAUUAUUGUGUGUUUGAUUGGUUUGAUUAGUAAGAACUCAUUGAAUUUGUCGAAAAUUUCUACUCUCUAUCAGUCCAUAAUUUGAAUUACCCAACGAGAGUGUUGGCAUUGUUUAAACUUACGACUCUUGGCAUAUAGGAAUAUAUCCCAAUUUUUCGUUUAAGAUGGAACACGUGCUAAAAUUAAAUAUGGGAAGUUUUUCUUCUUGACAAUGUAGACAUCGUUUGGAAGGUAAGAAUAGGCCUUUGCCUUAUACUUGCUGGCAAUUUGAUAGGAAACGCCUGAAAAAUUUAAUCAGGUUAGAGUGACGUACGUUACCCUCUAUGCUGUAAACCAAUGCAAUGUAUAUUAUGCUGUUAGACUGGCCCUGUCUGGCCGGCUCCAUUCCUUGGGCAUUUGUCCAUUUCUCGCAAUGGUAGGUCUUCUUCUUAUCGCCCUUCCUUUAGUGUAAAUGUCGUUGUUUUGGUUCUUAAUUAUGCUUCCCAAUUUAUCUGUAUCUUUAACAGCGUUUGUUUUGAAAUGUUCUCUGGCCUGUUUUUUAAAGUGUUUGUCGAUGACGCCGGAGAGUUUUCGUCCAAUGUUUAUGGAAAAGCUUUACUUGAAUCAGACUGUGUUGUGUAUAUGCAGACGUUUACUUUGUUUAAGGGAUAUAUCGUGUUGAUAUGAUGGUUAAUUAAUUUUUUAAGGUUUAGAUAUAUUCAGGGACCCUUUGAUAUCAACUAUUAAGCGUUGAUUUGUUGGUCCUCUAAAGAUAUGUUUAUUCUAUUAAGAGAAAUAAAUGUAAAGGAAAUCUCGGAUCGAAAGUUUAAGGCUAUUGGAAAAUUACUUUGACAUUUUUUGUGUUAGUUAUCAUG